AAAAAAUUAGUUAAAAAAUAACAUUGAUUUGUCAUGUCAAAGUCGCUGCCAUAACAGCAUUUUUUU
Molecule: transfer RNA, 66 nt
Filed under: Dracogyra subfuscus
Lineage: Eukaryota; Metazoa; Mollusca; Gastropoda; Neomphalida; Peltospiridae
Description: tRNA-Asp
Source: RNAcentral